CCUACGGGUGGCAGCAGUGGGGAAUAUUGCACAAUGGGGGAAACCCUGAUGCAGCGACGCCGCGUGAGUGAAGAAGUAUUUCGGUACGUAAAGCUCUAUCAGCAGGGAAGAAAAUGACGGUACCUGACUAAGAAGCCCCGGCUAACUACGUGCCAGCAGCCGCGGUAAUACGUAGGGGGCAAGCGUUAUCCGGAUUUACUGGGUGUAAAGGGAGCGUAGACGGUAGCGCAAGUCUGGAGUGAAAUCCCAUGGCUUAACCAUGGAACUGCUUUGGAAACUGUGCAGCUAGAGUGCAGGAGAGGUAAGCGGAAUUCCUAGUGUAGCGGUGAAAUGCGUAGAUAUUAGGAGGAACACCAGUGGCGAAGGCGGCUUACUGGACUGUAACUGACGUUGAGGCACGAAAGCGUGGGUAUCGAACAGGAUUAGAUACCCGAGUAGUC
RNAcentral lists this ribosomal RNA (440 nucleotides) under uncultured bacterium. RNAcentral's name for it is "partial 16S ribosomal RNA". It matches the Rfam family "Bacterial small subunit ribosomal RNA", at positions 338 to 795 of the family's 1533-position model. The record is from RNAcentral.